Molecule: ribosomal RNA, 254 nt
Filed under: uncultured bacterium
Lineage: Bacteria
Also listed under: 1 other name
Description: partial 16S ribosomal RNA
Rfam family: Bacterial small subunit ribosomal RNA
Source: RNAcentral
UACGUAGGGAGCGAGCGUUGUCCGGAUUUACUGGGCGUAAAGGGCGCGUAGGCGGUCUGUUUAGUGUGAAGUGAAAUCUCCAGGGCUCAACCCGGAAACUGCUUUGCAAACUGGCAGACUAGAGGAAGGUAGAGGUAAGUGGAAUUCCCGGUGUAGCGGUGACAUGCAUUGAUACCGGGAGGAACACCCGUGGCGAAGGCGGCUUACUGGACCUUAUCUGACGCUGAGGCGCGAAAGCGUGGGUAGCAAACAGG